RNAcentral lists this ribosomal RNA (554 nucleotides) under uncultured bacterium. Its description in RNAcentral is "bacterial SSU rRNA". It matches the Rfam family "Bacterial small subunit ribosomal RNA", at positions 42 to 647 of the family's 1533-position model. The record is from RNAcentral.
GCAGGCCUAAUAUUGCAAGUCGAACGGUCUCUUCGGAGGCAGUGGCGGACGGGUGAGUAACGCGUGGGAACGUGCCCUUUGGUACGGAACAACUGAGGGAAACUUCAGCUAAUACCGUAUGUGCCCUUCGGGGGAAAGAUUUAUCGCCAUUGGAGCGGCCCGCGUUGGAUUAGCUAGUUGGUGGGGUAAUGGCCCACCAAGGCGACGAUCCAUAGCUGGUCUGAGAGGAUGAUCAGCACACUGGGACUGAGACACGGCCCAGACUCCUACGGGAGGCAGCAGUAGGGAAUCUUGCGCAAUGGGCGAAAGCCUGACGCAGCCAUGCAGCGUGAAUGAUGAAGGUCUUAGGAUUGUAAAAUUCUUUCACCGGGGACGAUAAUGACGGUACCCGGAGAAGAAGCCCCGGCUAACUUCGUGCCAGCAGCCGCGGUAAUACGAAGGGGGCUAGCGUUGCUCGGAAUUACUGGGCGUAAAGGGCGCGUAGGCGGAUAGUUUAGUCAGAGGUGAAGCCCAGGGCUCACCUUGGAAUUGCCUUUGAUACUGGCUAUUUGAGU